AUAGAUUUUUGUUUACUCAAAUUAAUCUCACCACAAUAUAAAAUUUUUAACCUCUCACACUCACACACACACACACAGGUGACCACACAGGUUUGGUGAAAAACAUAUUUUCAGUUAAGUCUCCGGUGUCCUCCUGCUCGUCUUUGGGCUGUGUGUUUUCGGCGCUCUCCUCCUUUUCUCUGUCAUGUUCCUCCUGAGACUCGUCCUGUUGCUGCUGUAUGUCACGCCCUCACCGGCAGGUGGCACUGCGGCGCGGCUUCAGAGUGCAUGCGUGCACGUGACUGAACUGUGUAAAAUGGACACGUGCCUUGGCUUUUGGUUUCGUUCCUCCUUCUGUUUAGACAUUGGCUGAUGUGCGAGGGUGUCUUCAUUUGAGCCAGGUGUCUGUUUCAGUUUGAUUGUUGGUUAUUUAAACUCCUCGUGUGGCGGCGUACUUCACGCAGUAUUUAUGUUGUAUGAGUAUGUGAAUGUUGAAUACGUUACGUAUGCUAAGCGGUCUUGUUUUCAUGUCCUGUUUCAGUUCCUUGCUUCGCAUCCAGUCUCGUGUUUAAAGCCCGUCUAGACCGCAUUACCUGUGUGUAUUCUGCUAAGUGACAAUAAAGACUUUGAUCUGCACCUGCAUCUGCUCAAGUCCCGUGUCGUAACACUGUAAAACUGCACUGCAGUAAAACUUAUUUCAUAGUACGUCAAUAACGACUGUCACGUACCGUGGGUGGAGACGGAGGCAGUCGCGGGUGACAGGAAUCAAGGCAGAAUAAUCCAACGGGGACAGACAAAGUUCGUGGUAGAUAAACAGGCGAGGAUCAGGCGAUCGGUCAAACAAACAAAAGGAGGCAAGGCAGAGCUCGAAGUCAGUGGUGGAAAAACUGGUCAAAAGGUAGUUUAGUCAAUGUACGAGAAACGGCUUAGAGAAUGACAGAGAAACGAGUCAACUGAACAUUACUUCGCAAAGUCUCCUCUCUUCCAAAGUCUCUCUUAUACCGUGGUGUGAUUGUGUUUGUAAUGGCUUGCAGGUGUGUGCUUAGAACUCUGGGGAGGGUGAGCGCAUGCGUGAGCGGGAGGUGUCGUUUGCAGCGGCCAUGUUGGGAGUGAGUGUUGCGUCCUGGGAAAUUGAGUCUUGGCAGGGCUGAGAUAUGACAGACCCCCCCC
Ictalurus punctatus (channel catfish) is the source of this 1149-nucleotide long non-coding RNA. The record is from Ensembl. NCBI's taxonomy places the organism in Eukaryota, Metazoa, Chordata, Actinopteri, Siluriformes, Ictaluridae.